UAUCCUGAUGAGGUAAUUUGCGAUUGAUUCUGUGCGAUGGCUCUCUCGCCGGAGAUGCUAUAUCAAGCGGAUAUAUGAUAUUCAAUUUCUUACAUAUUCUGAAA
This 104-nucleotide small nucleolar RNA is filed under the name [Torrubiella] hemipterigena. Its description in RNAcentral is "Torrubiella hemipterigena A. fumigatus snoRNA Afu_514". It matches the Rfam family "A. fumigatus snoRNA Afu_514". The record is from Rfam by way of RNAcentral. Lineage: Eukaryota; Fungi; Ascomycota; Sordariomycetes; Hypocreales; Clavicipitaceae.